Molecule: long non-coding RNA, 1088 nt
Filed under: Sorghum bicolor (sorghum)
Lineage: Eukaryota; Viridiplantae; Streptophyta; Magnoliopsida; Poales; Poaceae
Description: long non-coding RNA (SBIC_LNC002028)
Source: RNAcentral
CUCCAACAAUGUAUAGAAACUUAUGCUCACAAGCAUUAAGAAUACAAAAAUACAUAGAAGUGCUCCAUUGUGUGUAUAGAAACUUAUGCACACAAGCAUAAGAACACCAAAUUCAACAAACAAAAUACAAAAAUCCUUGGCUGCGUCGCGCUGCUCCUUUGCUAUCUUCCAUCCAACCAACCACCACCGUUGAUUCGCACUAGCACCGCCGCUGUGAACUACACGCCACCAACCGCCACCGCUGCCUCAUACCAGCACCGCGGCCGUGGACUGCAUCAUGCAGUGGACUUGCCACCUGAAUGGUUCUGAAUGUGUAAAAUCUUAAUUCAUCAAGCAUAGAACCCACAAAGCAUAAAGAUUCAAAGUCAAUUGCAUAAAAACUUAUUCAUUACACAUAAUGUCAAAGAAAUGCAUAAAAAAUCAAAAUCAAAGCAUAGAAAUCCUGCUUACUUGCGUUGAUAGCUUUUUCAUUUCAUUACAUAGAAACCUAUUCAUCCAAGGCUGCAACCAAAAAUUAGAUAAACCCCAUACAACUAAGUAUAGAAGAAUUGUGCGCAGAUAAUUAUUCUAAUAGUGCAUAGAAAAGUGCUCCACAAUGCAUCUGAACCAAAAAUCCAAGGCUGUGUAGGUACAUAGAGAUAAUUAUUCAAACAAUAUAUGUCGAAUUGUUCUAACAGUGCAUAAAAGAGUGCUCCACAAUGUAUACAGACUUCUUCAAAAUUUAGAAUUUGAAAUUAAUUAGGGUGGAAACAAAUACAACUAAGCAUAAUCACAGUUUCACCAUGCAUCUAAAUCUAUACAUGCAAAUAUAAAAACUAUUACUUUCCUUUGGAUCAGCAUGCAAAAAAAUCUUAGCACCCAACCAACAACAAAAUGUAUAAAAUAUGCUCCAAACAAUAUAUAAAAAUAGUAGUAAGGUUUCUAUGCAUCUAACAAGACUAGAUCUGAACAUUUUAAAUACAUCUGAAAAGUUCAUAGAGUCAAGACUAAGCAUAGAAGAAAUUAGAAUUCAAUUUCUAUGCACCCAAAAUUACAAGCAAUCAAAUUUCAUAGAGUCAAGACUAGAUCUGAACAUUUUAAAUACAUCU